RNAcentral lists this long non-coding RNA (1147 nucleotides) under Brassica napus (rape). Its description in RNAcentral is "long non-coding RNA (BNAP_LNC024016)". The record is from RNAcentral. Lineage: Eukaryota; Viridiplantae; Streptophyta; Magnoliopsida; Brassicales; Brassicaceae.
UCAUAUUCUUGUUCUUGUGAAUUGAAUAUACGGACGACAUUACUUAUACGUCACGCCGCAACUUUCAUACCACCGAACAAAAUAUAUUAUAAAAGUACAAAACUUAAUUGAAUUUCAUGAGUACUUUUCCCAGUAACAGCUCUUCAUUUCUUUUUCACGUUUAUAAACAACAAAAGAAAAUUCAUCGCAGAGCUAAUAAGAUGAACGUGAAAGUAUGAAUCAUGUGAUUGUAAUAGAAUCAGUAAUCACUAAUCACGGGUUUUUGAUGACAGUUUCAUUGAUUGAAACUGAUUCCAGCUAUUCCAACUUAUAAGAAAGCAAUGUAUUUCCUCGUUUAAGCAAUCUGCAUCGAAAACUCAAUGGGGACUACACUAAUAGCAAACAGCAGAUGCAAAAUUUGAAUAAAAGGAAAUGUUAUUGGAAUGAAAUUUACCAAAACGUAUAUUAAUUUCAGCAGUUAUAAAAUCGCGAAGAACAAUGUGUAACCCGAUCACUGAAGAACAAAGGUAUGAUUUCUUAAGAAUUACAGUAAAUUAGAUGAAGAUUAGAAGAUCGAAAGUUUUUGAAGUUUUCAGAUAUGGUCGCCUUGGCCGUCAUCAGCGCGGAGAUCUGCCUCAGACUUCUUCUCUGAUCCUUAAGACUCACAUCCUCUAUCGACUAUGAUUAAAGCCCUCCCUCUUCCUUUCUGGUUUCAACUCCUGGUUCUACAUCUAAGAGCUCUGUACAUCCAUUCCCUUUGACACUCUCCAAUCCGAGCUCCGGUCACACCUUGCAUUCUUCAAACGCGAAGAUUUUUGAUCUCAUCAAUCGUUAGUUUAAGUACUAAGUUCGUUGUUAUCGAUGAGGUUGAAGUCUGCAUGUGUGCCCAGCUCAUUGGUUUUCGUGAGAAUUAUAAGUGAAGUAAGGUUAGAGUAAUAAAGUGCAGAAAAUAAACAACACAUAAGUUUUUCUUUUUGAAUUUACUAGAACAAUAAAGCGUUUACACCAAUCUUUUCUAGAUUUUGAUUAAUCAUGAUCACCUAAUCUCAAGCUAAACUCUCCCUAAAUCUAGAUUUCAAUUUUCAACAUUCUGGAAGUACGUCAACAACUACACAAGCACCUAACACAAAAUAGUGACACCAAAAGUUUCAUCACACAAUCAACAAAC